UAACCUGCCCUGUACUCUGGGAUAAGCCUGGGAAACUAGGUCUAAUACCGGAUAUGACCUGCCUCCGCAUGGUGGUGGGUGGAAAGUUCCGGCGGUACGGGAUGGGCCCGCGGCCUAUCAGCUUGUUGGUGGGGUGAUGGCCUACCAAGGCGACGACGGGUAGCCGGCCUGAGAGGGUGACCGGCCACACUGGGACUGAGACACGGCCCAGACUCCUACGGGAGGCAGCAGUGGGGAAUAUUGCACAAUGGGCGAAAGCCUGAUGCAGCGACGCCGCGUGAGGGAUGACGGCCUUCGGGUUGUAAACCUCUUUCAGCAGGGACGAAGCGCAAGUGACGGUACCUGCAGAAGAAGCACCGGCUAACUACGUGCCAGCAGCCGCGGUAAUACGUAGGGUGCGAGCGUUGUCCGGAAUUAUUGGGCGUAAAGAGCUCGUAGGCGGUUUGUUGCGUCGGCCGUGAAAACUUCACGCUUAACGUGGAGCCUGCGGUCGAUACGGGCAGACUUGAGUUCGGCAGGGGAGACUGGAAUUCCUGGUGUAGCGGUGAAAUGCGCAGAUAUCAGGAGGAACACCGGUGGCGAAGGCGGGUCUCUGGGCCGAUACUGACGCUGAGGAGCGAAAGCGUGGGGAGCGAACAGGAUUAGAUACCCUGGUAGUCCACG
RNAcentral lists this ribosomal RNA (663 nucleotides) under Saccharothrix sp. EGI 80154. RNAcentral's name for it is "bacterial SSU rRNA". It matches the Rfam family "Bacterial small subunit ribosomal RNA", at positions 122 to 799 of the family's 1533-position model. RNAcentral also lists the same sequence under 1 other name. Lineage: Bacteria; Bacillati; Actinomycetota; Actinomycetes; Pseudonocardiales; Pseudonocardiaceae. The record is from RNAcentral.